This 253-nucleotide ribosomal RNA is filed under the name uncultured bacterium. RNAcentral's name for it is "partial 16S ribosomal RNA". It matches the Rfam family "Bacterial small subunit ribosomal RNA", at positions 524 to 776 of the family's 1533-position model. The record is from RNAcentral.
UACGUAGGUGGCAAGCGUUGUCCGGAUUUAUUGGGUUUAAAGGGCGCGUAGGCGGCUUUGUAAGUCAGUGGUGAAAUAUGGCAGCUCAACUGUCAAGGUGCCAUUGAUACUGCAGAGCUUGAGUACAGAUGAGGUAGGCGGAAUUGACGGUGUAGCGGUGAAAUGCUUAGAUAUCGUCAAGAACACCUAUAGCGAAGGCAGCUUACUAGGCUGUAACUGACGCUGAGGCACGAAAGUGUGGGGAUCAAACAGG